Molecule: ribosomal RNA, 274 nt
Filed under: uncultured bacterium
Lineage: Bacteria
Description: partial 16S ribosomal RNA
Rfam family: Bacterial small subunit ribosomal RNA
Source: RNAcentral
CUACGGAGGGGGCUAGCGUUGUUCGGAAUUACUGGGCGUAAAGCGUACGUAGGCGGACUGAUCAGUUGGGGGUGAAAUCCCAGGGCUUAACCCUGGAACUGCCUUCAAUACUGUCAGUCUUGAGUUUGGGAGAGGUGAGUGGAAUUCCUAGUGUAGAGGUGAAAUUCAUAGAUAUUAGGAGGAACACCAGUGGCGAAGGCGGCUCACUGGCCCAUUACUGACGCUGAGGUACGAAAGCGUGGGGAGCAAACAGGAUUAGAUACCCUAGUAGUCC